This 376-nucleotide long non-coding RNA is filed under the name Ailuropoda melanoleuca (giant panda). RNAcentral's name for it is "lncRNA (ENSAMEG00000031123.1)". Lineage: Eukaryota; Metazoa; Chordata; Mammalia; Carnivora; Ursidae. The record is from RNAcentral.
GGUCUCUCACAUGCAUUGUUCCCCGUUAUAGAAAAGCAGCUCAGCAAACCCACUCUGAUCACCCAGAUGGAACAGGAAGAUGAAAUGAAAACAGAGACAGGAAGUCACCAAGAUAUCUAUGGGAUGGUUCUCCUUAAAACCAAACAAGCACAACAUAAGCAAGAUACUUCGGAGAAAGAAGCACUCAGUGGCAGGAAGGGGCAAACUCAUGGAGCAAGAUCCAUUGAACAGAAUAAAAUUGCCUUGAGCUUGAAAUCUAGCAUCACUUGGAAUCAGAGAAUUCAUCCUGGUGAGAAUCCCCAUCAACCCCUUCAUCUUGGGAAAGCCCUCAGAGAUUGGAUACACCUUAACCCACAUGAGAACAUUGUUUCUGGGG